Molecule: ribosomal RNA, 253 nt
Filed under: uncultured bacterium
Lineage: Bacteria
Description: partial 16S ribosomal RNA
Rfam family: Bacterial small subunit ribosomal RNA
Source: RNAcentral
UACGGAGGGGGCGAGCGUUAAUCGGAAUUACUGGGCGUAAAGGGCGCGUAGGCGGCUUGAUGUGUCAAAGGUGAAAUCCCUCGGCUCAACUGAGGAACUGCCUUUGAAACUGCAGGGCUUGAGGCCGGGAGGGGGUAGCGGAAUUCCCAAUGUAGCGGUGAAAUGCGUAGAUAUUGGGAGGAACACCAGUGGCGAAGGCGGCUACCUGGACCGGUUCUGACGCUGAGGCGCGAAAGCGUGGGUAGCAAACAGG